CGGAUCAGCAUGCCGCGGUGAAUACGUUCCCGGGCCUUGUACGCACCGCCCGUCACACCAUGGGAGUCGGUAACACCCGAAGCCGAUAGUCUAACGAAAGAGGACGUCGUCGAAGGUGGGAUUGAUGACUGGGGUGAAGUCGUAACAAGGUAUC
Molecule: ribosomal RNA, 154 nt
Filed under: uncultured bacterium
Lineage: Bacteria
Description: partial 16S ribosomal RNA
Rfam family: Bacterial small subunit ribosomal RNA
Source: RNAcentral